Molecule: long non-coding RNA, 1488 nt
Filed under: Ananas comosus (pineapple)
Lineage: Eukaryota; Viridiplantae; Streptophyta; Magnoliopsida; Poales; Bromeliaceae
Description: long non-coding RNA (ACOM_LNC025456)
Source: RNAcentral
AUAUAUAUAUAUAAUUGAGCUACUAUGCUUUUAAAAGUAUCAAAUUAUUGAUACUUGUAGAUUUCUAGCCAUUGGAUUAACGGAUGUGCGAUUAGAAUGAUGUGGGACUUCUAGAAUUAAGUAAGUGGUUGGUUGAAUAGUAUAAUCUAAUAGGCAAAAAAAUGAUCAAAAUGUUAGAUCUAAUGAUAAAAAAUUUACAAGUAUCAAAUGCUUGAUACUUUUACAAACACUAUAGCCGGACUAUAUAUAUAAAGAGAAAGUUGAGGUAGUAUAUAUUGAUAGUAUAUAAAUAAUAUUUAUUAUUUAUUUCUCUAACAUUAAAUUACUACUAUUCCAUCCGUACUAUCACUGAACCUUAAACAUUCAAUGGUAAAUAAUAGAUAGUGAAUACUAUUUUCUACCUGUUAAUAGUAUUAUAUAGAGAGAGUUGGACUAUAAUACUAUUAAUAGUGUGCAAAUAGUAUUUACUAUUAACUUUUUGAUCAUUGAAUGUCUUUAAUUUAGUGGGGGUUAGUAGAAUAGUAAUAAUCAAAGAGUGAAUAAAUUGAUAAUAAAUAUAUUUCAUAUACUAUUAAUAGUAUCACGGUGGCCUCACACUAUUAAGUCGUUUUUAAUGCUGAGACUUUUGAAUUGACGAUCGGUUCAAUUAGACUUGAUAUAGAGUGUUGCAGUAUCUAGAACAUAAAACUUUGCGGGCUUAAAAUCAACGACUUAAAACAAAAAUCUCAAAAAAAGUGAAACUAAAAUUUUUGAUCAGAAAUAUUGGUCAUGUUUUAUAUAAUAUAAAGAAUUUUUAUAAAAAUUUUACGUGAUUUGGAUAUUUCUACAGUGUUAACUUACAACUUGCUAAUUACGACCAUUAAAAUUAUUAAUUUUAGUUCUUUUCGAUCACUAGAAUGGAGCUAAUCGUCGAUUCGGAAGUCCCACUAUCGAAAACGAUUUGAUAUAUAUAUAUAUAGCUGGACUACUGUGCUCUCAUGAUCACGAAGGCCUCCGUGCUCCUGAGCCGUUUUUGAUGAUGAAAUUUUCGAAUCGACGAUCGGCUCCGUUAGACUUAAUCUAGCGUAUUUGAAGUUUCUACAAAAUAAUUUUUACGAUUUUUCGAUAUCAUUUACCUAGCAAUUGAAAGGAUUCAAAAUCAAUAAUUUUUAACGGCUGAAAAUAAAAAUUCUAUAAAAUGUGGUGAUAUAGCACUAAAAUUUUUGAUCAAAAAUAUUGAUCUUGUUGUAGAUAGUAUAAAGAAUUUUGUAUCAAAAUUUCAUCUGAUUUGAAUAUUUCUACACCGUUAAACUUGAAAACGGCAGAUAUCAGCCAUUAAAAAUUAUUGAUUUUGAAUCCUUUUGAUCACUAGGUAAAUGAUAUUAAAAAAUCACAAAAAUUAUUUUCUAGAAACUUCAAAUACCCUAGAUGAAGCCUACCGGAGCCGAUUGUCGAUUCGAAAAUUCCAUCAUCGAAAACGGCUCAGGAGCACAGAGGCCUCCGUGCUCC